AGCCAUCCAUUCAAAGAGUGCGUAAUAGCUCACUGGUCGAGAGGUCCUGCGCCGAAAAUGUCCGGGGCUGAAACGCGCCACCGAAACUAAGGAACCGAAAGGUUGGUAGAGGAGCAUUGCAUGCGGGAAGAAGCAGUACCGUAAGGAGCUGUGGACUGCAUGGAAGAGAGAAUGCCGGAAUGAGUAGCGAGAAUAAGGUGAGAAUCCUUAUGGCCGAAUAUCCAAGGUUUCCAGAGUAAAGCUGAUCUGCUCUGGGUAAGUCGGGGCCUAAGGCGAGGACGAGAGUCGUAGUCGAUGGACAACAGGUGGAGAUUCCUGUACUGCGGUAUGACAGAACUGUGGGGACACGUAAGGAAAGCGGAAGCCGGGAAUGGAAAGCCCGGUGCAAGCGGGGUACCAGUCACUCUGGCAAAUCCGGGUGGCAAUGGGAAGCCGUGAUGCGGAGCGAAAUAAAGUAGCGAAGUCCGUGAGCCAUGCGUCAAGAAAAGCCGCUAUCGUUUAUACCGUACCCGUACCGUAAACCGACACAGGUGGAUGAGGAGAGAAUCCUAAGGCCGGCGGAAGAAGCAUUGUCAAGGAACUCGGCAAAAUGGCCCCGUAACUUAGGGAUAAGGGGUGCCUGGGAAACCAGGCCGCAGAGAAUAGGCUCAAGCAACUGUUUAGCAAAAACACAGGUCUAUGCGAAACCGAAAGGUGAGGUAUAUGGGCUGACGCCUGCCCGGUGCUGGAAGGUUAAGAGGAGAGGUUAGCGCAAGCGAAGCUUUGAAUUUAAGCCCCAGUAAACGGCGGCCGUAACAAUAACGGUCCUAAGGUAGCGAAAUUCCUUGUCGGGCAAGUUCCGACCCGCACGAAAGGCGUAAUGAUCUGAGCGCUGUCUCGACAAUGCAUCCGGUGAAAUUGAAGUACCAGUGAAGAUGCUGGUUACCUGCGCCAGGACGGAAAGACCCCAUGGAGCUUUACUCCAGUUUGGUACUGGGACUCGGUAUUGCAUGUACAGGAUAGGUGGGAGGCUAGGAGAUAGUAACGCCAGUUAUUAUGGAGCCGCUGUUGGGAUACCACCCUUGCAGUAUUGGGUUUCUAACCAGCCGCCGUGACCCGGCGGUGGGACAAUGCCAGACGGGGAGUUUGACUGGGGCGGUCGCCUCCGAAAGGGUAUCGGAGGCGCCCAAAGGUUCCCUCAGAAUGGACGGAAACCAUUCGAAGAGUGCAAAAGCUACCCUGGGAUAACAGGCUUAUCACUCCCAAGAGUUCACAUCGACGGAGUGGUUUGGCACCUCGAUGUCGGCUCAUCGCAUCCUGGGGCUGUAGUAGGUCCCAAGGGUUGGGCUGUUCGCCCAUUAAAGCGGUACGCGAGCUGGGUUCAGAACGUCGUGAGACAGUUCGGUCCCUAUCCGGCGUGGGCGUAGGAUAUCUGAGAGGAGCUGUCCUUAGUACGAGAGGACCGGGAUGGACGGGCCGCUGGUGCAUCGGUUAGACUGCCAAGUCUACGGCCGAGUAGCCAAGCCCGGAAGGGAUAAACGCUGAAGGCAUCUAAGCGUGAAGCCCCCCUUAAGAUGAGAUAUCCCAUUCGAAAGAAGUAAACCCCCUUGAAGACGACGAGGUAGAUAGGGCAGAGGUGGAAGUGUGGCAACACAUGGAGCUGACUGUUACUAAUCGGGUGAGGGCUUGACC
Molecule: ribosomal RNA, 1671 nt
Filed under: metagenome
Description: bacterial LSU rRNA
Rfam family: Bacterial large subunit ribosomal RNA
Source: RNAcentral